Molecule: ribosomal RNA, 900 nt
Filed under: uncultured bacterium
Lineage: Bacteria
Description: bacterial SSU rRNA
Rfam family: Bacterial small subunit ribosomal RNA
Source: RNAcentral
UAGAGUUUGAUCCUGGCUCAGGAUGAACGCUAGCUACAGGCUUAACACAUGCAAGUCGAGGGGAAACGACAUCGAAAGCUUGCUUUUGAUGGGCGUCGACCGGCGCACGGGUGAGUAACGCGUAUCCAACCUGCCCACCACUUGGGGAUAACCUUGCGAAAGUAAGACUAAUACCCAAUGAUAUCUCUAGAAGACAUCUGAAAGAGAUUAAAGAUUUAUCAGUGAUGGAUGGGGAUGCGUCUGAUUAGCUUGUUGGCGGGGUAACGGCCCACCAAGGCAACGAUCAGUAGGGGUUCUGAGAGGAAGGUCCCCCACAUUGGAACUGAGACACGGUCCAAACUCCUACGGGAGGCAGCAGUGAGGAAUAUUGGUCAAUGGGCGAGAGCCUGAACCAGCCAAGUAGCGUGCAGGAAGACGGCCCUAUGGGUUGUAAACUGCUUUUAUAAGGGAAUAAAGUGAGCCUCGUGAGGCUUUUUGCAUGUACCUUAUGAAUAAGGACCGGCUAAUUCCGUGCCAGCAGCCGCGGUAAUACGGAAGGUCCGGGCGUUAUCCGGAUUUAUUGGGUUUAAAGGGAGCGUAGGCCGGAGAUUAAGCGUGUUGUGAAAUGUAGAUGCUCAACAUCUGCACUGCAGCGCGAACUGGUUUCCUUGAGUACGCACAAAGUGGGCGGAAUUCGUGGUGUAGCGGUGAAAUGCUUAGAUAUCACGAAGAACUCCGAUUGCGAAGGCAGCUCACUGGAGCGCAACUGACGCUGAAGCUCGAAAGUGCGGGUAUCGAACAGGAUUAGAUACCCUGGUAGUCCGCACGGUAAACGAUGGAUGCCCGCUGUUGGUCUGAAUAGGUCAGCGGCCAAGCGAAAGCAAUUAAGCAUCCCACCUGGGGAGUACGCCGGCAACGGUG